AACGCGAAGAACCUUACCUGGCCUUGACAUCCAGAGAACUUAGCAGAGAUGCUUUGGUGCCUUCGGGAACUCUGAGACAGGUGCUGCAUGGCUGUCGUCAGCUCGUGUUGUGAAAUGUUGGGUUAAGUCCCGCAACGAGCGCAACCCUUAUCCUUUGUUGCCAGCGGCUCGUCCGGGAACUCAAAGGAGACUGCCGGUGAUAAACCGGAGGAAGGUGGGGAUGACGUCAAGUCAUCAUGGCCCUUACGGCCAGGGCUACACACGUGCUACAAUGGCGCAUGCAAAGAGAAGCGACCUCGCGAGAGCAAGCGGACCUCAUAAAGUGCGUCGUAGUCCGGAUUGGAGUCUGCAACUCGACUCCGUGAAGUCGGAAUCGCUAGUAAUCGUAGAUCAGAAUGCUACGGUGAUACGUUCCCGGGCAUUGCACUCACCGCCCGUA
This 439-nucleotide ribosomal RNA is filed under the name uncultured bacterium. RNAcentral's name for it is "bacterial SSU rRNA". It matches the Rfam family "Bacterial small subunit ribosomal RNA", at positions 958 to 1398 of the family's 1533-position model. The record is from RNAcentral.